Molecule: ribosomal RNA, 253 nt
Filed under: uncultured bacterium
Lineage: Bacteria
Description: partial 16S ribosomal RNA
Rfam family: Bacterial small subunit ribosomal RNA
Source: RNAcentral
UACGAAGGGGGCUAGCGUUGCUCGGAAUUACUGGGCGUAAAGAGCGCGCAGGCGGUCGUACAAGUCGCGUGUGAAAGCCCCCGGCUCAACUGGGGAGGGUCACGCGAUACUGUUCGACUCGAAGGCAGGAGAGGGUAGUGGAAUUCCCGGUGUAGUGGUGAAAUGCGUAGAUAUCGGGAGGAACACCAGUGGCGAAGGCGACUACCUGGCCUGUUCUUGACGCUGAGGCGCGAAAGCUAGGGUAGCAAACGGG